GCUGUCAUGUCAUUGACAUCAAUGUAAGAAAGUACUCUCCAUUCUACCAGAAGUCUUCUUAUUUAUCUUUUUUUCUUGCAUAAAUUUACCAUUUGACUUUUCGUUUCAACCAUCAUUUGUAUUGAUGAACAGACAACUGUGUCAAUCAACAAAUAACUACUUGUUUUCAAAGUGCAAUGAUAUAUUGAUAUCACAGAUUGUGUUAAUUGUAAACGCUGAUAAGAGUGUAAUUCAACAAAAAAAU
RNAcentral lists this long non-coding RNA (244 nucleotides) under Mytilus galloprovincialis (Mediterranean mussel). The record is from RNAcentral. Lineage: Eukaryota; Metazoa; Mollusca; Bivalvia; Mytilida; Mytilidae.